Pelobates cultripes (western spadefoot toad) is the source of this 585-nucleotide non-coding RNA. NCBI's taxonomy places the organism in Eukaryota, Metazoa, Chordata, Amphibia, Anura, Pelobatidae. The record is from the annotation of a GenBank genome assembly.
CCCUAGUGUGAUAGUAGUAGCAGUUUCAACAGCCAUUGCACAUGCUAUCAAUGCUCUGAGACACGCCGGCAUACCCUGUACCGGAGCUCGAACUACUUUGGAAAAGAAUGCUAUGGGACGCAUACCGCCUCCUUGCUCUUGUGCACAGACUGCGGCCAUGGUUUUACAAUUGUCCCAAACAUACAAAUGAAAUGGUUUACAAUACACAGGUAGUCCUAAAGCCUGGGCUUGCACAAUAACAACUGUAAGGGCAAUAUAUGCAGCUAGCAUGUCUGGUGACCAGCAGACAUUUUCAGGGCUGUCAGAACGUACAGCCUCCCUUAGGACUGAGUCAUAAUGGGAGCAUUCAGGGAUCCAUUGGCGGCAGUAAUUAAUCAUGCCGAGGAAGGUGAGCAACUCCUUCCGAGUAGUGGGUGUAGGAAUUCUCUGAAUGACCUCAAUACGUUUUGGACUCAAUUGUCUGGUGCCUAAAGCCAGAACAAAACCUAAGUAUUCAACCUUUGAUUUACACAAUUGCAUUUUGUGUUUAACAACCUUGUGACCUAUAGUUGCUGACAGUAUCCACAGUGCUUGCCUCAUAGCUAG